This 465-nucleotide ribosomal RNA is filed under the name uncultured bacterium. Its description in RNAcentral is "partial 16S ribosomal RNA". It matches the Rfam family "Bacterial small subunit ribosomal RNA", at positions 28 to 507 of the family's 1533-position model. The record is from RNAcentral.
GACGAACGCUGGCGGCGCGCCUAACACAUGCAAGUCGAACGAGCGAGAGAGAGCUUGCUUUCUCGAGCGAGUGGCGAACGGGUGAGUAACGCGUGAGGAACCUGCCUCAAAGAGGGGGACAACAGUUGGAAACGACUGCUAAUACCGCAUAAGCCCACGGCUCGGCAUCGAGCAGGGGGAAAAGGAGCAAUCCGCUUUGAGAUGGCCUCGCGUCCGAUUAGCUAGUUGGUGAGGUAACGGCCCACCAAGGCGACGAUCGGUAGCCGGACUGAGAGGUUGAACGGCCACAUUGGGACUGAGACACGGCCCAGACUCCUACGGGAGGCAGCAGUGGGGAAUAUUGCACAAUGGGGAAACCCUGAUGCAGCGACGCCGCGUGGAGGAAGAAGGUCUUCGGAUUGUAAACUCCUGUUGUUGGGGAAGAUAAUGACGGUACCCAACAAGGAAGUGACGGCUAACUACGUG